AUCGCUUCUCAGCCUUUUGGCUAAGAUCAAGUGUAAAAUUAACCCUCCUAAAUGCUACUUUAAUUCUGUUCCCCAUCCCCAACCUGAAUUUAAUUUUCUUAUUUGAUCUAAGGAAGCAUAGUUUUAAUUAAUAACUUUACACAAUCAUAUGAAGGGUGCUUUAUCCCUUUUUAAGUUAAUUUUUA
This is a small nuclear RNA of Oryctolagus cuniculus (rabbit), 185 nucleotides long. Its record names the gene U2. It matches the Rfam family "U2 spliceosomal RNA". Rfam says of the family: U2 is a small nuclear RNA (snRNA) component of the spliceosome (involved in pre-mRNA splicing). Complementary binding between U2 snRNA (in an area lying towards the 5' end but 3' to hairpin I) and the branchpoint sequence (BPS) of the intron results the bulging out of an unpaired adenosine, on the BPS, which initiates a nucleophilic attack at the intronic 5' splice site, thus starting the first of two transesterification reactions that mediate splicing. Lineage: Eukaryota; Metazoa; Chordata; Mammalia; Lagomorpha; Leporidae. The record is from Ensembl.